Long non-coding RNA from Oncorhynchus tshawytscha (Chinook salmon), 2927 nucleotides. The record is from Ensembl. Lineage: Eukaryota; Metazoa; Chordata; Actinopteri; Salmoniformes; Salmonidae.
AGGGAGUUACUCCAGUCUAUUGGUAGCGGUAGACCUCCUCGGAGAAGAACAGUAGGGGGCAGUGUAUGCUGCUAAAGGUUGAAUGCGAUCCGCCAACCCAAUCUCAAAGAAGAAGAACGUAAUUCGCUAACGCCGUAUUUUCGAAAUGGCAUAUCUCGAGUUCAAGUUUGAGGACGAAAUUACUAAAUAUAUUCGGGAACAAGAAUUGGCAACGUCACUGAAAUUCGUAAUAUUGGGAAAGGACAAAAGUUUUGGACAAAAGGAUGCACAGCCUUUGGCACGGAAAAAACUCAGCUGGGAGAGUAAAAGUAUCCCGUUCAAUGGUGUUCCGUUUCAAGUUGUUGGCACAAAGACGUAUGAAUGCCACCAGGGCAAAGACAGACAGACAAAAGCCAAAGAGAAAUAUGCUGCUGAAAGAGACAAGAAGGAACUUGAAGACCAUGCCUUUGUAAAGAGACGGAAACUGGUACAAAAUACCAAAAAGGUGGACUGCAAGGCUAUAAUAAACAUCGCCCACGUUAUUCGCUUUCCUGAUUUUAAGAUUGAGGAAGGUACAGUGCGCUCUAAAAAGGAGGCCUCCCAAACUCUGAAGGCAGCACUAAGUGAAACACCCAGCUCCGUGAAGGCAGAGGUUGUCUACUGCGUCAGGUUCCCCUCCCUCUCUGAGCACAGCUCACAUGCAGUUGUUGGCGAGGCAGCUCAUGUUAGGGAAGCUGUAGAUGCCAGGCUGAGAGAGAAGAUUGAGCAGCUGACUCUGUCUGGUGUGAGAAAGAUGACUGAAAUGAAGUGUCAUCUGAACACCUUUGUAGUGGAAGAGCUUUUCCAUGGAGAGCAGCCCCCUCCACCUACUCGCAGGCGCUAUUACCCCACUGACAGUGACAUAAGAAAUGUCAUGUUUAAGACCAAGCGGGCCACCGGAGACUCCAACAUUGACCGUCCAUACGAAGGUCCAUCUGGAAGAGGAAAGAAGAGGUCCUCUAGGAAGCUGUUGCGGUUACGGAGGCAAUGUGCAGGAUAUCUUAAAGAGAUCACAGAACUCACUUAUCAUCUCCAAGAGGAACAGUACGUGACUGACCUGUCUUCACAGCUCAGAAGUGUGCUGCUGGAUAUGAAGGCCCAUGUUCCACAGGAUAAAGACCUUCCACUGACCUUUUCUCCAAGGAAGAGAAAAGCUGAGAUGGACAUGGACCUCAUUCCAACCAAGAGUGCAUCACACCCUUUCAUAGAUGGGUUAGAACAGCAUACAGAGGACAUAGUGAGUGUGGAUACCUUGUUGGCAUUGAGCCUAGGUUAGUAGGGCUGAGUGGAUACCUUGUUGGCAUUGAGCCUAGGUUAGUAGGGCUGAGUGGAUACCUUGUUGGCAUUGAGCCUAGGUUAGUAGGGCUGAGUGGAUACCUUGUUGGCAUUGAGCCUAGGUUAGUAGGGCUGCGUGGAUACCUUGUUGGCAUUGACCCUAGGGUAGUAGGGCUGAGUGGAUACCUUGUUGGCAUUGAGCCUAGGGUAGUAGGGCUGAGUGGAUACCUUGUUGGUAUUGAGCCUAGGUUAGUAGGGCUGUGUGGAUACCUUGUUGGUAUUGAGCCUAGGUUAGUAGGGCUGAGUGGAUAUGUUGGUAUUUAGCCUAGGGCUGAUGACUGUGUGGAUACCUUGUUGGCAUUGAGCCUAGGGUCAUAGGGCUGCGUGGAUACCUUGUUUACAUUGAGCCUAUGGUAGUAGGGCUGCGUGGAUACCUUGUUGGCAUUGAGCCUAGGUUAGUAGGGCUGCGUGGAUACCUUGUUGGUAUUUAGCCUAGGGCUGAUGACUGUGUGGGUUCUGCCUCCAAUUGAGUAUAUUUUGGGUAGUGUAACUUUUAUUUCAACUAAUGUUACUGUAACGGAUGUGAAAUGGCUAGCUAGAUUAAAGUUAUACUGUUACAUUAACAACUUCAUUAAAACAUGUUUUCUCAUCUGUACAACAAAUACAUGACUAUAGUACGUCAUUUAGGAGGCAUAUAUAAACACACGGUUCCACUCAUCUGCAGCUACUCUGCACUUUAUUGUAUUCUGGUCUGUCCUGAUGCCUAGUCACUUUACCCUGCACAUUUAUCUCUUUGAUCUGGUACUUCCUGUAUAUAGCUGCACAUUGAUCUGGUACUGGUAAUCCCUGUAUAUAGCUGCGCAUUGAUCUGGUACUGGUAAUCCCUGUAUAUAGCUGCACAUUGAUCUGGUACUGGUAAUCCCUGUAUAUAGUUGCACAUUGAUCUGGUACUGGUAAUCCCUGUAUAUGGUGUUAUUAUUGUGUAUUCUAUUCCUCUUGUUACAAUCCCCAUGUUUUUUUAAAAACUUUGAAUCGUUGUGAAGGGCUGUAAGCAAGAAUUUCACGGUUAAGUCUACACACCUGUUAUAUUCGGCGCAUGUGACAAAUAAAAUUUGUUUUUGAAGUGCCCAAAUAAAGUAACAGGGUUGACCUUAAAAGUGUUGACGUUUAAUCUUAAAUCAGACCAUUUCUAAAUAUGCAUUAAUGACAGUUUCUUUGAAGCUGUGUAUGUUUUACUUGUGGAUUUUUUUUAAACAAAAAUUUAAAAUCAAGAUGUAUCAAUUUGUUUUUAUUUUUAUAAUGGCAUGUACAUAUUGGAGUAAACCUAUUUUGGGUUAAAACAACUAACACUCGAGUAAGGGCCAACAUGAUUAGCUUGCAACCUGAUUGAGUGGUUGAUCUGGUUGAGUGCAUUGUUUUACAACUAAGUAUUCCCUUUCCUUGAAUAAGCAACCUGGUCUCAGAGCAUUUGGUAUUAUUCUGUACGUAAAUCCAAGAUACUCAUUUUACUAUAUGUUUCAUAUGGUAUAUAUUAAUCUGGAGAUGUCCACCCAUUCCGUAUGAUAUCUUACGAAGUACAAUUAAUAUUCUAUUUUACGAAUUUGCAGAAAAUAUGCUAUGUUAUGAAUUCAAGC